AGCUUUGUGCAGUGGCAAUAUCAUAGCCAAUGAGGUUUAUCCGAGGCGCAAUUAAUGCUAAUUGAAAAAAAAAAACCCAAAAUAUAAAAUCUUAAUCUCCACAAUACACUUUUUAUUAAGGUUUCAUUAUAUCCAUUUUAUAGAAAG
This is a small nuclear RNA of Lutra lutra (Eurasian river otter), 147 nucleotides long. RefSeq annotates it as U4 spliceosomal RNA. The record is from RefSeq and is a predicted model, not a curated record. Lineage: Eukaryota; Metazoa; Chordata; Mammalia; Carnivora; Mustelidae. The transcript has a single exon.